This is a long non-coding RNA of Ruditapes philippinarum (Manila clam), 5272 nucleotides long. RefSeq lists it as uncharacterized. NCBI's taxonomy places the organism in Eukaryota, Metazoa, Mollusca, Bivalvia, Venerida, Veneridae. The record is from RefSeq and is a predicted model, not a curated record. The transcript is spliced from 2 exons.
AAAUUGUUUUCAAGUCUUUUUUAAAUGACAUAAGAUUCCUCAAAGGUUUAAACAUUUCAAUUUUAAUGUUGUCAUCAAAAUUUUGAAAUAUACUUUAUUCACUUUUUUUUCUCAAAAUGUAAGACAGUGAUAAACAUGAAUUACAGACAUAGUUUGAUGUAAUAUCAUGCUCAAAUGUUAUCAUCACCUUAAACUAUCCUGUCAUGGAUUCUCAGGGUGUUAAAACAUUUUCAUACCCUUUUCUGUUAGCAUGGUGGAUAAUCAUUGAGUUUAGAGUGUUGAGAAAAGUGUGUGGUCAAAUAGCAUCACAUAGACACUGUUCUUGGAAAUCAAUUCAAAUGAAUAAGCAGAUAAGUUGAUUAUGAAUUUAAAAGUAAACUUUGACAGCUUUUAAUUCUGCAUGUGCCCGAAGUUUGAUUCUAGACAUUACCAGUUGGUCAUUAUAGUUCUUUUGUAAGCAUGGGUAUACUGAACAUGUCUGGUAAAUUCUUGUUAUAGCGUUGUUGCCUUGGUGACGUUUAUGAAAACAUGACAUACCUGGUAUGAUGUAACUGUUAAACAUAUAGUAAAUACUGGUAGUAGAUAAAUAGUUAUACCAAGCUAACCAUAUGAAUAUACUUGUAAAACUUAGAUAGAUUCAGUUGUUAUUAACAAAUUGCCUUAAUGUUUUUUAUAUGCCCGAAAGAAUUUCGGACAUAUAAUGUUAUACCCCCUGGCGUCCGUGUGGCCGUCCGUACGUCCUCCGUCCGUUAGCAAUUUGGUUUCUGGAGCAUAACUUAAGUUCCAUUUGGCCCACAGUAUUCAAACUUCAUAGGAUGAUUGCCCAUAUUGGGUAGAAGACCCCUAUUGAUUUUGGGGUCAAAGGUCAAGGUCACUAUUACCAUAAAACUGAAAAUGGUUUCCGGAGCAUAACUUAAGUUCCAUUUGGCCCACAGUGUUCAAACUUCAUAGGAUGAUUGCCCAUAUUGGGUAGAAGAUCCCUAUUGAUUUUGGGGUCACAAGGUCAAAGGUCAAGGUCACUAUUACCAUAAAACUGAAAAUGGUUUCCGAAGCAUAACUUAAGUUCCAUUUGGCCCACAGUUUUCAAACUUCAUAGGAUGAUUGUCCAUUUUGGGUAGAAGACCCCUAUUGAUUUUGGGGUCACAAGGUCAAAGGUCAAGGUCACUAUUAGCUAAAUACUGAAAAUGGUUUCCGGAGCAUAACUUAAGUUCCAUUUGGCCCACUGUAUUCAAACUUCAUAGGAUGAUUGUCCAUAUAAGGUAGAAGACCCCUUUUGAUUUUGGGGUCACAAGGUCAAAGGUCAAGGUCACUAUUAGCUUUAUACGAAAGUGGUUUCCGGAGCAUAACUUAAGUUCCAUUUGGCCCACAGUUUUCAAACUUCAUAGGAUGAUUGCCCAUAUUGGGUAGAAGAUCCCUAUUGAUUUUGGGGUCACAAGGUCAAAGGUCAAGGUCACUUUUACCAUAAAACUGAAAAUGGUUUCCGAAGCAUAACUUAAGUUCCAUUUGGCCCACAGUUUUCAAACUUUAUAGGAUGAUUGUCCAUUUUUGGUAGAAGACCCCUAUUGAUUUUGGGGUCACAAGGUCAAAGAUCAAGGUUACUAUCACCUUUAAACUGGAAACAGUUUUCGCUCAAUAACUCAAGCAUUAAUCAACCUACAGCUAAAGUACUUUCGGGCAUAUAAUGCCCCGCCUAGCGGUGCUCUUGUUUACCAUUAUGUCUGAGAUUAGGCCAUAUAUUUCCACAAAAAAGUGUUAUUUUCAUUAUAAUUAUUUCCAGUCAUAAGCAAUAAGCAGUUUUUUAGCUGUAUCCUAAAUAAAUCUGUAACACAUAAUCUCUUCAAGUUACAGGACAAUAAAGUAGGUACAAACUAAAGUAUAUUAGAGUAUUAAUUGAGAACAUUAAAGUGUGAAUGGGUUGUGUACCUGGUACAUAGUUGGUGCAGAUAGUAACACUAAGUCACAUUUACCUCAUUUCUAUUUAUCAUUCUUCUUAUUAUAUAGACAUGAAAUGAAAGUUGUACUUAAUUUUUCUCAUUGAUCCAUUCUUAUUUCUAAAAACACAGCACUUUAUGAAUAAUCAAACAAAAAACAUAUUUGAAAUUGGUAUGUAAGUAAUGGUAUAGCUUUUAACAGGUCAGUAAAGUCAAUAUUUGGUAUGCUUUAAGAACUGUAAGCACACAUGGCUGUUGUAUAAAUAUACAUUGAGAUCAUUACAUUGAUCGUAACAGCCCUCGUUAUAUACAUCUUGUACCAAGAUAUUGAUGUUGUAUGCUAUUUUUACAAUGAAACAUUAAAAAAAGAAGAUAUUUUUGUAUGUAUAUAUUUGUUGCUGUUAGUGACUACUUGUUUACAUGUUAUAUGAUAUUCAGAAUUUGUUUACUGUCAAAAUAUGUUACGUUAAAUACUUCAUGUCAUCUUUAAGCUUUGAGCAUAAAUUGAACUUACUAUUUUCAAUAUAGAAUAAGAAUAUUACAUUAAAUUAACACUGUAUUACAUAAACCAAUACAUGGACAUAACAAGAUAAAGUUAAACUGAGAUAAACAAUGUUUUCAGCAAAUUAAAACAUAAAUACUAUAAUGAUAUGGUAUUACUGCUUAAUAUGAAAAAGCCAAAGAAGCAAAAUAGAGUCAUUCUGCUUUUAAAAAUAUAAAUUUUGUAAUAGGAUGUUGUGCUGAAUUUGAAUGAAUUAUGAGUGAUAAGUAUUGUCUUAUGAUUAUAAAACUGUCAACACAUUAUCUACCUUUUGAACACAACGAUGAUAAUGGCAAACCAGUGUCAGCUAUGUAGAACCAGAUCAGCAGUGUUACCAGACUUGAUACAUCGAGUCGCUCUCUUUUAGUAUUUAAAUGCUGAAAUCCACUUAAGUACUCCUGGAAUUCUCUAUUCUCAAAGUAGAACAUGUUCAUUAUACAAAUUCAAAAGUGAUAUGGUUUAUUUUUGUUAUUGUACGUAACUUAUUCUAAUGAAACGGUCAAACUCAAAAUUUCUGGGAAAAAUGGCAACUAUUUUGUUUGUUUGUGUGUAUUACAUAUAUGGUUGACUCAAAUUGUUUGAAAAGUAUUGCUUGUUGUAAACACCGGUAAAUUUUACAUUGGCAGCUUUAAAUGUUUCUGUUGAAUCUUUCCUGGCCUACAUGUUAAGUGUGGUGAAUCUAGGCCUUGAUACAUUUUUGCCAGUUUUAUAUUUGUUUUCAGUUUACUGCUGACAACUCAUACAAGGUUUGCUGAAAAGUGUAUUUACUAAUUCUUAUUGUCAUUUUUUAUGUAACUUUUUUUGUUAGGAAACAUUGGAGUGUCUGUAUUUCCGUAGGUUAUAUUUAAAAAAAGAUACAAAAAUACAAUGUCUUGUAUUUAUAUUUUGGGUUAAGUUGAAAAUUGUUUAAAUCAUUUUUAGACUUUCAAGGCAGACUUAUCAAACUUGAAAGUUGAUAUAUAUAUGCACUCAUCGUAUUUUUGUAAGCUGGAAGUUAAUGGUGAAGAAUUUUGAUUUUAUUUCCCAUAUAUGAAAGAUAUAUUAUAAGGAAACAAAACAAAUUUAUAGUAACAUGUUUCAUUAAUCUUAGUGAAACUUAUAUACCAUUUCAGAGCUUUUUGGUCGAGAAGCAAAUUAUUACUAAUUAGUGAUGGUGUAUUUAUAUAUCAUUUUACAAUCUAAACCAAUAACCUGCUGCAAAUGUGUAAGCCUUUGCAACUGGUACAAUGCCAGGCAAGCCUGUUCAUGUAGUCUGGUCAGACUCUGUACUAUUGUCAGCUAAAAAAAAGUUGUAUUUUGAUAUUAAAUUCCCCUUAAAUUUAAAUGGACUGUUCUAAAUUUAAUGCUUGUCAAGUCCAUUAUGGAAAUUCUGCAGGUUAAAGAUUCUUUUAUGGUUUUAUAUCAUAAAUGUGAUGUAUCAAUAUUGUAAAGCACUAUUUGUAAAGAUAUUACCGAAUUUACAUUUCAUGUAAAUAAAGGGAGAUAAUUAGAAAUUUAUUUUCGAUAAAGUCUAAGCCAAAUUUUUCAAUAAGAAAUGAAUGCAUAAAUUUUAAUGAUUACUUAUAAUGCGAAUAAACAUAUUUAACAUAUUCUCUGAUGUUUGGAAAUUGUUUUAUAAGAAUAAUUAUAUACAUUUAUUAAAUUUCACCUAAGUUUUGUUAUGUCUUCUUCACUGGUAUUGAUAAACUUGAUAUGAUUGUUGUUUCAUUUAGACAUGAAAAGGGAGAGUCAUUCUGUGUUUAAAUUAAGUCUUAGUCAUUAACAUUUGAUUGUGUAUAUUGGUUUAUUAACCAAUUAUUUUCGAAACUUUACUAAUAAUACAGCAGUAGUGAUGACAAUAUAAAUGAUAUAAUUACUUUAUGUAUAUCUUUGAAAAUAGUCUUAGUGUUUAUGUUAGACAAAUAAAUAAUUUCUCAUAACCUAUGAAACUUGUUAAUUAUACUCUUCUUUUUUUCUCCUGGAAUUUGAUUUCAAUUCUUGGUUGAUUAAAUUGAUUAUCAUGAUGGAACUCAAUCAUAGUGGAAUAUAAAUAAACAAUGUAGGACUCACGCAGAUGCGCAGGCUGGUCUGGAUCCAUGCUGGUGGCAAACUCAUUAUGUUGGUUUUGUCGUGACGCGGCUCAUAUAUCAUGCAUUACUGUCCCAUGUUAAAUAUGGCAAACAUUAAUGUUGUAAUUGUUUCUGUUCACAUUCAUUUUAACUUGAACAUAACUCUUUGAAGUCAAACUACAUAGAGCCAAGUCAGUCUACAUAUAUGUGUAGUAUAACCACGCAAUAUUAUAGAAGCUUCUAAAGAUUUAGCAAUUUGUUGUUUAAAAAAACUCAAAUAAAAACAUCAUUAUUAUUAAUAGACAGUUCAAAAGAACAAGUUCAUUACCAGUUCACAAUAUAUACAAUAUAGCUGAUUAACGGUUAAAAUAUAUUGCAUUGUGUCCCUGAUAUACAAUAACUAUACAAUAACAAUAUAAUGGUAAUAUUGAUUUGUAACUUUACAGUUUGUUAUUAUGUUGACCAUUCUAUAAUAAUAUCUUUAACUUAUUUAGUAGGGGAUAUUUAAAAUGUUUUAAAAAUAUGAAGAGAAAAUCUGAUUUCUUCUACCAUGAUUGACUUUCAUUUUAGUAAUACAUACAUGUACUAGUAAUUACAAGAAUAAUUAUUAUUCUGUGACAUUAUUUUCUUUGCAUGAAAACAUAGUUUAAUUUUGAGGCUGUUCACAUUGUAUUAUAUUUAUAAAUGUGUCGGUUAAAUCACCACAAUUACACUCAUCUAAUAAAACAUUUGCACAAUUUGUACAGAAAAAA